UGGGGAAUAUUGCACAAUGGGGGAAACCCUGAUGCAGCGACGCCGCGUGAGCGAAGAAGGUUUUCGAAUCGUAAAGCUCUGUCCUAUGAGAAGAUAAUGACGGUAUCAUAGGAGGAAGCCCCGGCUAAAUACGUGCCAGCAGCCGCGGUAAUACGUAUGGGGCGAGCGUUGUCCGGAAUUAUUGGGCGUAAAGGGUACGUAGGCGGUCUAUUAAGUCAGGUGUGAAAGCGUGAGGCUUAACCUCAUUAAGUGCUUGAAACUGAUAGACUUGAGUGAAGGAGAGGAAAGUGGAAGUCCUAGUGUAGCGGUGAAAUGCGUAGAUAUUAGGAGGAAUACCGGUGGCGAAGGCGACUUUCUGGACUUUUACUGACGCUCAGGUACGAAAGCGUGGGGAGCAAACAGG
Molecule: ribosomal RNA, 403 nt
Filed under: Verrucomicrobiota bacterium
Lineage: Bacteria; Pseudomonadati; Verrucomicrobiota
Description: Verrucomicrobia bacterium partial 16S ribosomal RNA
Rfam family: Bacterial small subunit ribosomal RNA
Source: RNAcentral